Sebastes umbrosus (honeycomb rockfish) is the source of this 1324-nucleotide long non-coding RNA. RefSeq lists it as uncharacterized. The record is from RefSeq and is a predicted model, not a curated record. NCBI's taxonomy places the organism in Eukaryota, Metazoa, Chordata, Actinopteri, Perciformes, Sebastidae. The transcript has 2 exons.
CUCAAUUUCUCCAAUCAGAAAGUUGGAGUGAUGAUACUUAAAGCCGUUUCACUACAGAUUUACAUCCGAAAAAUGUGCAUGGAAAUUUAUACAACCUGAUUGCUGAACAUUCGUUCGGACGAACGUCGAUUUCACCGCCUGCGGGAAUAUAUUUUUGACCAAUGAAAUCUUUUGUUACCAAUAAUGUCUUUUGGAACAAUGGGCGUUUUGUUUUUGGGGUAACGGACCAUCGGACAAAAUGGGCUUUCAGUCCAAUGGGACAUUUUUCGGACUAUUUGUGUUUCAGAAUAAUGGGCCUUCGGAACGAUGGGUCGUCCCUUUCUCAACACCCAAUAAUGUACGACAGCAUGCCGCGACCACUACCUCAACAACCAAAUAAAGGCCAAUAUAUGGCUUGAGAUCACCCAGCAGCUGGGAUACGAUGAAGAUGUUCCUGUAAUGAAAUGUGACCAGUGAUCUUCCGAUUUCGCCACUGGAAUGAAACCUGGAAGGAAGUUCAUCGAGCCCCCGUAAAGAAACUGCAAAUACACAAAGACUGUCGCGGUCCUGUUCUACAGCACCAAUAACUGCAUCUUCCAUCACCAUGUGAUUGAACACUGUGAUUCUGUAUAUUAUCCAUUCAACAGAAUGAAGCCCUUCCCUCAACCCUCUGCAACACAUGACACAAGUACUACUACUUUUAAUCAGAAUUCUGGAGUAAUCUCAAACAUGUAUUUGUUUUUUGUUUUUUUUCAUUUGGCACCAAUGAUCCUCCAUAUUUUGUUCCUUUGUUUUAUAGAAUGUAAAAACAGAAAAUAAGCUUUUAAACUGUUGUAUCACUACAUGGAAAUUCUAUGCUGUUUGCACUUUACAAAGUAUUUUAUGGUUGUAUUAUUAUGUGAAUUUUGGGUUAGUAUUAAUAUUGCACGAUGCAAUCCUGUCUUAUUUUUUCUACAAACACUUGGUCCACAGAUUAUGCCUUUAAUUUCACAUCUGUGUGGGUGGAUGUCUCAUUUUGGAAUUAAACUAUUCAGCUCUUUGUUCUCGUGGUUGUAUCUAUACAAAUGCAAAUAAGGUUUUAUCCUGACUUUAACACUAUCCACCGUGUUGUUCACUUCUUACAAACGUUCCCGUCCUUUAAAUCCCUCCUUACAUCCUCAAGCCAUGAUUUUGGAAUCAGACAUAUUUCCUCAAAUGCUUUCAAUACGACCAAAAGCUUGUGGGCGGGAAUGUGUUUUUUCUCUCUCCUCUCUACAGUUGUUGGAUGUCUCUGGGGAGUCUGCUGGAUUAUGGAGGGGAUUUCUGUUGGAUUUCUGUGAAAUAAAGACUGUUUUUUUAGCCACUC